GGCGGCGCCAGGGCCCAAGAACUGCCUGGUCAGGGGCGUUUCGGCGGCAGACUGUAAAUCUGCCGGCUCAGCCUUCCCAGGUUCGAAUCCUGGCGCCGCCA
RNAcentral lists this transfer RNA (101 nucleotides) under Streptomyces harbinensis. RNAcentral describes it as "tRNA-Tyr". The record is from RNAcentral. Lineage: Bacteria; Bacillati; Actinomycetota; Actinomycetes; Kitasatosporales; Streptomycetaceae.